AUUGAACGCUGGCGGCAUGCUUUACACAUGCAAGUCGAACGGCAGCGCGGGCUUCGGCCUGGCGGCGAGUGGCGAACGGGUGAGUAAUGCAUCGGAACGUGCCCAGUAGUGGGGGAUAGCCCGGCGAAAGCCGGAUUAAUACCGCAUACGACCUGAGGGUGAAAGCGGGGGACCGAAAGGCCUCGCGCUAUUGGAGCGGCCGAUGUCGGAUUAGCUAGUUGGUGGGGUAAAGGCUUACCAAGGCGACGAUCCGUAGCUGGUCUGAGAGGACGACCAGCCACACUGGGACUGAGCCACGGCCCAGACUCCUACGGGAGGCAGCAGUGGGGAAUUUUGGACAAUGGGGGCAACCCUGAUCCAGCCAUGCCGCGUGCGGGAAGAAGGCCUUCGGGUUGUAAACCGCUUUUGUUCGGGAAGAAAUGCUCUGGGCUAAUACCCCGGGGGGAUGACGGUACCGGAAGAAUAAGCACCGGCUAACUACGUG
Molecule: ribosomal RNA, 484 nt
Filed under: uncultured bacterium
Lineage: Bacteria
Description: partial 16S ribosomal RNA
Rfam family: Bacterial small subunit ribosomal RNA
Source: RNAcentral